RNAcentral lists this ribosomal RNA (497 nucleotides) under uncultured bacterium. RNAcentral's name for it is "partial 16S ribosomal RNA". It matches the Rfam family "Bacterial small subunit ribosomal RNA", at positions 28 to 507 of the family's 1533-position model. The record is from RNAcentral.
GAUGAACGCUGGCGGCGUGCCUAAUACAUGCAAGUCGAGCGAACGGACGAGAAGCUUGCUUUUCUGAUGUUAGCGGCGGACGGGUGAGUAACACGUGUAUAACCUACCUAUAAGACUGGGAUAACUUCGGGAAACCGGAGCUAAUACCGGAUAAUAUUUUGAACCGCAUGGUUCAAAAGUGAAAGACGGUCUUUCUGUCACUUAUAGAUUGAUCCGCGCUGCAUUAGCUAGUUGGUAAGGUAACGGCUUACCAAGGCAACGAUGCAUAGCCGACCUGAGAGGGGGAUCGGCGACACUGGAACUGAGACACGGCCCAGACUACUACGGGAGGCAGCAGUAGGGAAUAUUCCGCAAUGGGCGAAAGCCUGACGGAGCAACGCCGCGUGAGUGAUGAAGGUCUUCGGAUCGUAAAACUCUGUUAUUAGGGAAGAACAUAUGUGUAAGUAACUGUGCACAUCUUGACGGUACCUAAUCAGAAAGCCACGGCUAACUACGUG